AGUGAACGCUGGCGGUAGGCCUAACACAUGCAAGUCGAACGGCAGCACAGUAAGAGCUUGCUCUUACGGGUGGCGAGUGGCGGACGGGUGAGGAAUACAUCGGAAUCUACUUUUUCGUGGGGGAUAACGUAGGGAAACUUACGCUAAUACCGCAUACGACCUACGGGUGAAAGCAGGGGAUCUUCGGACCUUGCGCGAUUGAAUGAGCCGAUGUCGGAUUAGCUAGUUGGCGGGGUAAAGGCCCACCAAGGCGACAAUCCGUAGCUGGUCUGAGAGGAUGAUCAGCCACACUGGAACUGAGACACGGUCCAGACUCCUACGGGAGGCAGCAGUGGGGAAUAUUGGACAAUGGGCGCAAGCCUGAUCCAGCCAUACCGCGUGGGUGAAGAAGGCCUUCGGGUUGUAAAGCCCUUUUGUUGGGAAAGAAAGGCAGCAGGUUAAUACCCCGCUGUUCUGACGGUACCCAAAGAAUAAGCACCGGCUAACUUCGUG
RNAcentral lists this ribosomal RNA (492 nucleotides) under uncultured bacterium. RNAcentral's name for it is "partial 16S ribosomal RNA". It matches the Rfam family "Bacterial small subunit ribosomal RNA", at positions 29 to 507 of the family's 1533-position model. The record is from RNAcentral.